Molecule: long non-coding RNA, 213 nt
Filed under: Capsicum annuum
Lineage: Eukaryota; Viridiplantae; Streptophyta; Magnoliopsida; Solanales; Solanaceae
Description: long non-coding RNA (CANN_LNC005446)
Source: RNAcentral
AGAGAGAAUAACAAAAUGAGAAACGAGAAUCAACCUGCAUCUCCGCUUGUUCAUGAAGAUCCCCUGAACGAGCAUGUCUCUCAUGCUGAAUUCAGAGCUGCAUUCACUACUUUAGCUCACUCAGUAGCAUCUUACAAUAACCAAUAGGUUGUCGUUCCAGUGGCUAAUACUACCACAGCUAGGAUUCGGGACUUCAACCAAAUGAACCCUCUU